RNAcentral lists this ribosomal RNA (461 nucleotides) under uncultured bacterium. Its description in RNAcentral is "SSU rRNA". It matches the Rfam family "Bacterial small subunit ribosomal RNA", at positions 26 to 516 of the family's 1533-position model. The record is from RNAcentral.
AGGAUUAACGCUGGCGGCGUGCCUAACACAUGCAAGUCGAACGAGGUAGCAAUACCUAGUGGCAGACGGGUGAGUAACGCGUGGUCAACCUACCGUUGAGUGGGGGAUAACUAGCCGAAAGGUUAGCUAAUACCGCAUACGUCUCCGAGGGGCAUCCCUUGGCGAUAAAAGGAGCAAUCCGCUCGAUGACGGGACCGCGUCCCAUUAGCUAGAUGGUGGGGUAACGGCCUACCAUGGCACCGAUGGGUAGCUGGUUUGAGAGAGCGACCAGCCACACUGGGACUGAGAAACGGCCCAGACUCCUACGGGAGGCAGCAGUGAGGAAUUUUCCGCAAUGGGCGCAAGCCUGACGGAGCGACGCCGCGUGUGGGAAGAAGGCCUUCGGGUCGUAAACCACUGUCGAAGGGGACGAUAAUGACGGUACCUUGGAGGAAGCCCCGGCUAACUACGUGCCAGCACGC